AGUGAACGCUGGCGGUAGGCCUAACACAUGCAAGUCGAACGGCAGCACAGGAGAGCUUGUUCUCUGGGUGGCGAGUGGCGGACGGGUGAGGAAUACAUCGGAAUCUACUCUGUCGUGGGGGAUAACGUAGGGAAACUUACGCUGAUACCGCAUACGACCUACGGGUGAAAGCAGGGGACCUUCGGGCCUUGCGCGAUUGAAUGAGCCGAUGUCGGAUUAGCUAGUUGGCGGGGUAAAGGCCCACCAAGGCGACGAUCCGUAGCUGGUCUGAGAGGAUGAUCAGCCACACUGGAAAUGAGACACGGUCCAGACUCCUACGGGAGGCAGCAGUGGGGAAUAUUGGACAAUGGGCGCAAGCCUGAUCCAGCCAUACCGCGUGGGUGAAGAAGGCCUUCGGGUUGUAAAGCCCUUUCGUUGGGAAAGAAAUCCAGCUGGCUAAUACCCGGUUGGGAUGACGGUACCCAAAGAAUAAGCACCGGCUAACUUCGUGCCAGCCGCCGCGGUAA
Molecule: ribosomal RNA, 506 nt
Filed under: uncultured bacterium
Lineage: Bacteria
Description: partial 16S ribosomal RNA
Rfam family: Bacterial small subunit ribosomal RNA
Source: RNAcentral